RNAcentral lists this transfer RNA (59 nucleotides) under Microbacterium aquilitoris. Its description in RNAcentral is "tRNA-Ser". It matches the Rfam family "tRNA". From Rfam's summary of the family: Transfer RNA (tRNA) molecules are approximately 80 nucleotides in length. Their secondary structure includes four short double-helical elements and three loops (D, anti-codon, and T loops). Lineage: Bacteria; Bacillati; Actinomycetota; Actinomycetes; Micrococcales; Microbacteriaceae. The record is from RNAcentral.
GCUGCGGUAGCUCAGCCGGUAGAGCCAUUGGUGCGCGGGUUCGAACCCCGCCGGCAGCA